GGGCGGAUGGCGAAAUUGGCAGACGCGCUAGCCUUAGGAGCUAGUGGGGUAACCCAUGGGGGUUCGAGUCCCCCUCUGCCCA
Molecule: transfer RNA, 82 nt
Filed under: Bacteroidota bacterium
Lineage: Bacteria; Pseudomonadati; Bacteroidota
Description: Bacteroidetes bacterium (groundwater metagenome) tRNA-Leu
Rfam family: tRNA
About the family: Transfer RNA (tRNA) molecules are approximately 80 nucleotides in length. Their secondary structure includes four short double-helical elements and three loops (D, anti-codon, and T loops).
Source: RNAcentral